CAAUAGCGUAUAUUAAAGUUGUUGCAGUUAAAAAGCUCGUAGUUGGAUUUCUGGUGGGAGCGAUCGGUCUGGCGCUUAGCGCGAGUACUUGCAUCGUCUCCGGCCAUCCUUGGGGAGAGUCUGUCUGGCAUUAAGUUGUCGGGCAGAGGAUCCUCAUCGUUUACUGUGAAAAAAUUAGAGUGUUCAAAGCAGGCUUAUGCCGUUGAAUAUAUUAGCAUGGAAUAAUAAGAUAGGACUUUGGUACUAUUUUGUUGGUUUGCGCACCAAAGUAAUGAUUAAUAGGGACAGUUGGGGGUAUUCGUAUUCCGUUGUCAGAGGUGAAAUCCUUGGAUUUACGGAAGACGAACUACUGCGAAAGCAUUUACCAAGGAUGUUUUCAUUAA
RNAcentral lists this ribosomal RNA (383 nucleotides) under uncultured eukaryote. RNAcentral's name for it is "partial 18S ribosomal RNA". It matches the Rfam family "Eukaryotic small subunit ribosomal RNA", at positions 592 to 976 of the family's 1831-position model. The record is from RNAcentral.